This 381-nucleotide long non-coding RNA is filed under the name Rattus norvegicus (Norway rat). Its description in RNAcentral is "long non-coding RNA NONRATT002299". Lineage: Eukaryota; Metazoa; Chordata; Mammalia; Rodentia; Muridae. The record is from RNAcentral.
GUACCCAACACCUUACUGGUAUAAGGGAUGGGAUCAGGGGCCAGGGAAAUAGAGAUGUGUGCAGAGCACUUUUAAUAUCAGUCUGUGCCCUCACUCCCUCAGGACCUCUUCUUCCACUAUGUAUUCAACAAUUUCCUGCAUGCUCAAGUGGAGGUGUGUGUGAGUGCAAUGCUGAGUUCCGGGCCCCCUCCAGACAGCAGCCCUGAGACACCUGUCCCGAACCCUAUCGUGAAACAUCUCCUUCAGCACUGCCGCCUGGUGGAGCGCAUUCUGGCGUCCUGGGAGGAGAAUGACCGUGUGCAGUCAGUACUUACAGACUUCCUGUGGGGACAGAUAGGGCAGUGGGAGGAUGGGUAGGAGGCCUGGAUAGCCCAAGCAUCU